RNAcentral lists this unclassified non-coding RNA (1869 nucleotides) under Hevea brasiliensis (rubber tree). The record is from RNAcentral. Lineage: Eukaryota; Viridiplantae; Streptophyta; Magnoliopsida; Malpighiales; Euphorbiaceae.
GAGAGAGAGAGAGAGAAGGAAGGGGCCUCAACCUCCUCAGAUUUUAAAUUAGGCGAUCAUAUCAGCAAUCUUUUCAAGCCUAUGGAGUAAUCAUUGGCAGUUGUAAAAGGCAGUGAAGAAAACAGAUACAGAUCUAUUGAUUAGGUACCAGCAUUCACCGUGCAUAUAAACUACAUAAUACAAAUAACAUCAAUCUACACAUAUAAAACCAACAAUCCAAAGGGUUCAUUUUGAUUAUUAAGCAUUAAUUUUAAGUUUGUAAGUUCAAAAUGGAACACCUGAAAGGGGCAGAUUAUAUGCAGUUCAAGGAAGAAAAACAAAUGUCCACCAACAUGAUAUUGAUCAUCUUGACUAACAGAAGACAACAAAUCGAUAUUACCUCAGUCCAUAGAUCAAUUCAAAAAGGAAUAAUAAUGGUUCAAUUAAGUUGAAAUAAGUGGGAGAAAGAAAAUAUGCUGAGAUAUUAUACAAAUAUAAUGUGCUGUUUAUGGAGAAUUUCUCAAACUUCCUCAUUGUUAGCCUCAGCAAUCUGUUUAGGAACGGGUUAGCCAAUAGGCAAUAGCUAUAGAAAAAGCAUUAACCAACUAAUUCUGUUAGAUAUGCUACGCAUUAUUAUCCAUCUAUAUUGGUGAACCAAAAUUCAUUAACCAGAAUGAGGUUGAAAAGACAAAGCCUGAGCCCCUGAAGAUGUUAACUGAUAUGGCCAUAUCAGCUGUGAAGUAAACAUAGAUCCACAUUCAAGUAGCAUUCACCCAAGCAUAUCAUUAGAUCGACUACCUCCUAUAAUUAUUAAAAAUUUAGAUCUCAAACAACAGAUAAAUGACCACUCAAUAAUUUAUAGCUAUUCAAUUGAGAAUAAGCCUUGAUGAAUUCUCCUUAGUAACACUUCAAAGAAGAAACAUGCUAAUAUAACAAACAACUGAGUACAAAAAUCAAAUUAGUUCCAUUCCUUGGAAGGCCAAAGUAAGGAGCCGGGGAAAUAUAUUAGAAUAUUAAAAAACAAAAAGGCUCGGCUUAUGGCAAAAUUUUCUCAAACAUCCAACCAUGCACUGCAAAGCAUUUAACACUGCAGGCAAAAUGACUUGGAAGCUUUGAGAAUUUUUCGCUUCAGGGAGCAAACUGUUUCAGAACUGGCUAGUCCCAGCAACCUAAAAGAAAAGCUUCAAAUGACCAAGUUGACAAGUCAUUGAAGCUUAAAAAAAUUGUUUGACAUCACAAAUCAAGUACAAUAAUAUAUCAAUCUUCCAACAAUUAAAAUAAUGAAGUGGGAGAUUAGUAUUAAUAGAAUAAGAGAAGAUAAUAGCCUAAGUAACAAAUCUACCAGAGUGAAUCAGAAAUUAAGAUAUCAUAUUGGCAAGAUAAAAGUUAUAGCACAAAUGCUUAUCAUUUCCGAUCUUUUUCCAUUGUCCCACAAAGAAAGAAAAGAGGAAGGGAGGGAGAAGAUAACAAAAUAACAAAACUUCAGUUUAAUAAAAUGAAAUGAUUGGUUCUACUGAGCUUAAAAAGAAGCUUUAAUCAACAUCUUAACAAAUCCAGCCAAAGUAUCAUACCAAACAUAUUAAAAAAAAAAAAAAGUAAUAAAAGUGCCAAAAGAAAAGUGCUCCUGAAGUAAAAAUCUUCUCAAGCCUCAAAAUACCAUAGUGCAUCACAUGGUACACCACAGUCAACACAAUACGAAGACAUGAGGCACUUUAGCUUCAAAUGAACGAACCAAUGAGGAACUUAUAAAUCCCCAGUGGUCAGAGAAAGAAGCCUACACAAACAACAUCUAAGCCUUAAUCCCAAACUAGUGAAGGGUCGACUAUAUGGAUCCCAGGUCCACAUCAAUAUAAGCCUAUCCAAAACACAUUGAGAGAGAGAGAGAGAGAG